Molecule: ribosomal RNA, 492 nt
Filed under: uncultured bacterium
Lineage: Bacteria
Description: partial 16S ribosomal RNA
Rfam family: Bacterial small subunit ribosomal RNA
Source: RNAcentral
GAUGAACGCUCGCUACAGGCUUAACACAUGCAAGUCGAGGGGAAACGACAUCGAAAGCUUGCUUUUGAUGGGCGUCGACCGGCGCACGGGUGAGUAACGCGUAUCCAACCUGCCCAUCACUUGGGAAUAACCUUGCGAAAGUAAGACUAAUACCCAAUGAUAUCCCACGAAGGCAUCGGAAUGGGAUUAAAGAUUUAUCGGUGAUGGAUGGGGAUGCGUCUGAUUAGCUUGUUGGCGGGGUAACGGCCCACCAAGGCAACGAUCAGUAGGGGUUCUGAGAGGAAGGUCCCCCGCAUUGGAACUGAGACACGGUCCAAACUCCUACGGGAGGCAGCAGUGAGGAAUAUUGGUCAAUGGGCGAGAGCCUGAACCAGCCAAGUAGCGUGCAGGAAGACGGCCCUAUGGGUUGUAAACUGCUUUUAUAAGGGAAUAAAGUGGGUCACGUGUGACUUUUUGCAUGUACCUUAUGAAUAAGGACCGGCUAAUUCCGUG